UAUUAGCAUAGAAACGCGUAAAAAACACAGAUUUGUUGCGAAACUAAUGAAAACAAUAGGUUUGUUUACGACUACUAAUUCUCGACCACUUCGGUAGAACUGUCAAAACAGUCAGGCCUUGAAUAUGACGUUAGCCACGAUUUAGCUUAUAU
Long non-coding RNA from Sitophilus oryzae (rice weevil), 152 nucleotides. RefSeq lists it as uncharacterized. The record is from RefSeq and is a predicted model, not a curated record. The transcript has 3 exons. Lineage: Eukaryota; Metazoa; Arthropoda; Insecta; Coleoptera; Curculionidae.